Aphis gossypii (cotton aphid) is the source of this 415-nucleotide long non-coding RNA. RefSeq lists it as uncharacterized. Lineage: Eukaryota; Metazoa; Arthropoda; Insecta; Hemiptera; Aphididae. The transcript is spliced from 2 exons. The record is from RefSeq and is a predicted model, not a curated record.
CCGGUGUUAUGGGCUACGAGAUAUCUAUAAGAUAUCUACGAGACUACAAGGCUAAUUAGUAUGACCAUGCCUCAUGUCAAGGGUAAUGCGGAUGCUACUAUGACCAUGACACGUGUCGGGAUAGUAAGCGCACCAAUAAUUACAGUGCACUAAUGAUGCAUUUGAGAUGUUAUUACACAUUCUCAAAUUCGUGUCCGAAUUUGCAACAACAACAACAAGGACACCUGGUUUUACCCAGAAGGCGAAAACACUACGUAAACAAGAGACGCACCACAAUAUAUAAGGGAGCCCGAAGACCAGCAACGGCAGAUGUACCAAAGCUAUCAACAACAGAGCACUUUCACGUCACUCAGCCACUUAUUUAAUUUGUUACAUGUAUUUUGUUUGUAUGCAAUAAAACAUAUUACGUUAUUAA